CGUGACAUUGUGACGAGUUUGUAGAAGUAUAUAAGCUAGAUACAAACGAACCAGUCGUAUUCCACCUUCAACAUGAAGCUCUUAUUUAUCUGCUUGUUGCUUGCGUUGCUCUAUUUUUCUGCCAUUAUGGCAGCUCCCGUCGCUGGCGGUAAAUAUUGCGAAUACAACUGAAGAUCCUGCAGUGCAGAAAAAGAGGUUUAUAGAACAGUGUGGCUAAAAUCCGCUGUUAAGUCACGAAUAGGCGAGACUUGCGGAUUUUAGGAGUCUGUGCUAUAAAAUUUUAUACGAUUCUCUUGACUAAAAUGGUUCAGUUUUACACGGUGCUGUAUUAUUAAUCAUUUUUUUCGGAAGGCAUUUAAAAGCGUACCUAAAAUUGGUUAAAAUGCGAUUCUGUUUAUGCAAAUAAAAGCUCGAUCGCACAGAUGAUUUAUUAAAACGUCA
Molecule: long non-coding RNA, 441 nt
Organism: Nasonia vitripennis (jewel wasp)
Lineage: Eukaryota; Metazoa; Arthropoda; Insecta; Hymenoptera; Pteromalidae
Exons: 2
Source: RefSeq, a predicted model, not a curated record